GCCUCCUCGCAGGACGGACCCUGGACGGAGCAGGGAUCCUGCGCCCUCGGCCCGCCGGGGCCACCUUCCCGCUGUGCGUUUCUAAACCUGUGCAAUGUCACGCGGGCCCUGAGCAGUGAGACCCCCCCCUCCACCCCGGUGGUCUCGAGGAUGUGGCCGGGGACCAGGGCGGGGCUGGCCCCAGUGCGGCCGCACGCGCCCCUUCGCCAGCGCCGAGGCCCCGGUGGCACGUCUGGCCCGGCUUCGCUUCUCCGGAGGUUCCUUGCUGUCGGCCGCAGCCACCGCCCCUCCCUGCCCCCCAGGGGCCCUCAGGGCGCCUUCAGGCCUCAGCAGAGCGAAACCCAAACGAGGCGCUGGCGGAAAGCAGCCAGCACUCCUCCCUCCCUCUCCCUCCUUUCCUCCCCUCCUCCCUCACUUUUGCUGGGCCCUUGGGGAAGUCUUGGUUCCCCGGGCCCUGGGGGUGCAGAGCCGGUGUUCGGGAGAGCCGCCUCGUGACCGCACGGUGUGUUCGGUUUGUGAAAGCUCAGCGGGCUGAUCGCUAGGAUUUGAGCAUUUUUCUCUACAUAUACGGUGGAAAUGGUGGCUGUGAAUAUCAACUACUCCUUAUUUAAUUGUGAAAUGUUAGAAAACACACCGAGAGACUGCGCAAGCACAUAUGCGUGGGCUAAAAGGCGCUAAGAAGACACCUGUGUCUACCCCUGAGGCAUCCUUGUGCUGACAUUUUGGGUCAUUAUUCUCUCCCUUUUCUUACAGCUUCAUCACGUGUGUGUGUGUGUGUGUGUGUGUGUGUGUGUAAAUUCUUAAACGUACAUGGUUUAGCCACAAUGAGGUACCACCUCAUACCCAUUAGGAUGGCUACUAUAAAAGAAAAACACAGGCUGGGCGCAGUGGCUCACGCCCAUAAUCCCAGAACUUUGGGAGGCCCGUGGGGUGGGGGGGGGGGGGGGGGGUGGAUCACCUGAGGUCUGAGGUCAGGAGUUCGAGACCAGCCCAGCCAACAUGGUGAAACCCCGUCUCUACUAAAAAUACAAAAAUUAGCCGGGCAUGGUGGUGUGCGCCUGUAAUCCCAGCUAUGCAGGAGGCUGAGGCAGGAGAAUCACUUGAAGCCAGGAGGCAGAGGUUGCAGUGAGUGGAGACUGCGCCAUUGCACUGCAGCCUGGGCAGCAAGAGCGAAACUCCGUCUCAAAAAAAGAAGAAAAGAAAAGAAAGAAAAAUGCAGAAAAUAGUAAUUGUUUCAAGGAUAUGGGGAGGCUGGAACCCUCAUGCAGUGUUGGUGGGGAUGUGAAAUGGUGUAGCUGCUGUGGAAAACAGGAUGGCAGUUCUUCAAAAAAUUAAAAAUAUAAUUACCAUGUGAUCCAGCGAUUUUACUCAAAGACUCACACAGAUAUUUGCACACACAUAUUCAUAGCAGCAUUACUCACAACAGCCAAAAGGUGGAAGCACCCAGGUGUCUGCUGAGGAAAGCAUAGAUGAACACAAUGCAGUCCAUCCAUGUGCUGGAAUAUUACUCAGCCUUAAAAAAGGAAGCAGAUUUCGGCACAUGCUACAACAUGGAUGAACCUUGGGGCCACCAUGCUGAGUAAAAUAAGACAGACACAAAAGGACAGAUACUGUGUGAUUCCACUUCCAUGAGGUCCCUGGAGAAGUCAUAGAGACAGAAAGUAGAGUGGAGGGUGCCAGGGGUUGGGAGGGGAAUGGGGAGUGAGUGUUUCAUGGGGCCAGAGUUUCCAUUCAGGAAGCUGGAACAGCUCUGCAGAUGGUGGUGGCAAUGGUUACAUGAGAUGUGAAUGCCACUGAACUGAAAAGUGGUCGAGAUGAUAAAUUUAUGUUAUGUGGUUUUUUUGUUUUGUUUUGUUUUUGAGACGGAGUCUCACUCUUGCCGACCAGACUGGAGUGCAGUGGCGCAAUCUCAGCUCACUGCAACCUCCACCUCCCGAGUUCAAGUGAUUCUCAUGCCUCAGGCUCCCAUGUAGCUGGGAUUACAGGCACCCACCACCACACCCAGCUAAUUUUUAUAUUUUUAGUAGGUCACCAGGCAAGGAGAGGCUCCCGGGGACUUCCAGAGUAGAGAAGUGGGGCAGGGUUUAAUUUCCAGGCACAUGAUGGCUGGUGUCCCCAGAAACACAGAGCUGUUUACAGCCGAGCACUGACAAGAGGUGGCGCUGUCCCCUUCUUGAUCCCAGCCGGCCGGCUUCCAGGACUGAGGAAGGAGGUGUCCUUCUCAGCACUCUCUCAUCAGAGCUGCAUGUCCCGGCCAUCUGGGGUCAGGAGGGGAAGGGGGCCGCCGGACGGGCCAUGCUCUGGAUGGCCCACUGCAGGAUGCCAUCGAA
This 2330-nucleotide long non-coding RNA is filed under the name Homo sapiens (human). RNAcentral describes it as "non-protein coding lnc-C21orf2-3:1". The record is from RNAcentral. Lineage: Eukaryota; Metazoa; Chordata; Mammalia; Primates; Hominidae.